RNAcentral lists this ribosomal RNA (448 nucleotides) under uncultured bacterium. Its description in RNAcentral is "bacterial SSU rRNA". It matches the Rfam family "Bacterial small subunit ribosomal RNA", at positions 355 to 796 of the family's 1533-position model. The record is from RNAcentral.
UCGAGAAUUUUUCUCAAUGGGGGAAACCCUGAAGGAGCGACGCCGCGUGGAGGAUGAAGGCUUUCGGGUUGUAAACUCCUGUCAUUUGGGAACAAGGUGGACGUGUUAACUGCACGUGCAUUGAUAGUACCAGAAGAGGAAGAGACGGCUAACUCUGUGCCAGCAGCCGCGGUAAUACAGAGGUCUCAAGCGUUGUUCGGAUUCAUUGGGCGUAAAGGGUGCGUAGGUGGCGCCGUAAGUCGGGUGUGAAAUUUCGGAGCUUAACUCCGAAACUGCAUUCGAUACUGCGGUGCUUGAGGACUGGAGAGGAGACUGGAAUUCAUGGUGUAGCAGUGAAAUGCGUAGAGAUCAUGAGGAAGACCAGUGGCGAAGGCGGGUCUCUGGACAGUUCCUGACACUGAGGCACGAAGGCCAGGGGAGCAAACGGGAUUAGAUACCCGGGUAGUCC